Molecule: ribosomal RNA, 429 nt
Filed under: Gemmatimonadota bacterium
Lineage: Bacteria; Pseudomonadati; Gemmatimonadota
Description: Gemmatimonadetes bacterium partial 16S ribosomal RNA
Rfam family: Bacterial small subunit ribosomal RNA
Source: RNAcentral
UAGGGAAUCUUCGGCAAUGGACGAAAGUCUGACCGAGCAACGCCGCGUGAGUGAAGAAGGUUUUCGGAUCGUAAAACUCUGUUGUUAGAGAAGAACAAGGACGUUAGUAACUGAACGUCCCCUGACGGUAUCUAACCAGAAAGCCACGGCUAACUACGUGCCAGCAGCCGCGGUAAUACGUAGGUGGCAAGCGUUGUCCGGAUUUAUUGGGCGUAAAGCGAGCGCAGGCGGUUUCUUAAGUCUGAUGUGAAAGCCCCCGGCUCAACCGGGGAGGGUCAUUGGAAACUGGGAGACUUGAGUGCAGAAGAGGAGAGUGGAAUUCCAUGUGUAGCGGUGAAAUGCGUAGAUAUAUGGAGGAACACCAGUGGCGAAGGCGGCUCUGUGGUCUGUAACUGACGCUGAGGCUCGAAAGCGUGGGGAGCAAACAGG